Molecule: transfer RNA, 88 nt
Filed under: Deltaproteobacteria bacterium
Lineage: Bacteria; Pseudomonadati; Myxococcota; Myxococcia
Description: tRNA-Ser
Rfam family: tRNA
About the family: Transfer RNA (tRNA) molecules are approximately 80 nucleotides in length.
Source: RNAcentral
GGAGAAGUGGCCGAGUGGUCGAAGGCACUCCCUUGCUAAGGGAGCGUACUCCAAAAGGGUACCGUGGGUUCGAAUCCCACCUUCUCCG